GAUUAACGCUAGCGGCAGGCCUAAUACAUGCAAGUUGAACGGCAGCACAGGUAGCACUACUGGGUGGCGAGUGGCGCACGGGUGCGUAACACGUAUGCAACCUACCCUAUACAGGCGAAUAACCUUUAGAAAUGAGGGCUAAUACGCCGUAGUAUUACAGAUGGGCAUCUAUUUGUAAUUAAAGAUUUAUCGGUAUAGGAUGGGCAUGCGUCCCAUUAGUUAGUUGGUAAGGUAACGGCUUACCAAGACGAUGAUGGGUAGGGGAUCUGAGAGGACUUACCCCCACACUGGUACUGAGACACGGACCAGACUCCUACGGGAGGCAGCAGUAAGGAAUAUUGGGCAAUGGCCGCGAGGCUGACCCAGCCAUGCCGCGUGCAGGAAGACGGCCUUAUGGGUUGUAAACUGCUUUUAUACGGGAAUAAUAGAGUGUACGCGUACAUUUAUGCAAGUAUCGUAUGAAUAAGCAUCGGCUAACUCCGUG
This 484-nucleotide ribosomal RNA is filed under the name uncultured bacterium. RNAcentral describes it as "partial 16S ribosomal RNA". It matches the Rfam family "Bacterial small subunit ribosomal RNA", at positions 28 to 507 of the family's 1533-position model. The record is from RNAcentral.